AGUGGAUGGGGAGCAACCUAGUUGUGCGUGUGUAAAGGUAGUGCCAAGAAAAGCGAUGAUCAUGUUGAAAAUCAAUUCCCGGUACCCGAAACCGACACAGGUGGGCAAGUAGAGAAUACUAAGGGGCGCGAGGUAACUCUCUCCAAGGAACUCGGCAAAAUGACCCCGUAACUUAGGGAGAAGGGGUGCCACCGAGAGGUGGUCGCAGUGAAGAGGCCCAGGCGACUGUUUAGCAAAAACAUAGGUCUCUGCAAACUCGAAAGAGGAGGUAUAGGGGCUGACGCCUGCCCAGUGCCGGAAGGUUAAAGAAGUUGGUCAGUUUUAGGAUGAAGCUAGCGACUGAAGCCCCGGUGAACGGCGGCCGUAACUAUAACGGUCCUAAGGUAGCGAAAUUCCUUGUCGGGUAAGUUCCGACCCGCACGAAAGGCGUAACGAUCUGGGCGCUGUCUCGGAGAGAGGCUCGGCGAAAUAGGAUUGUCUGUGAAGAUACGGACUACCUGCAUUUGGACAGAAAGACCCUAUGAAGCUUUACUAUAGCUUGGAAUUGUGUUCGGGCUUCCUGUGCGCAGGAUAGGUGGGAGGCGUAGAAGGUAUUCUUGUGGGGAUACUGGAGCCAACGGUGAGAUACCACUCUCAGGAGGCUAGAAUUCUAACUUAAUUAAGGACAGUUUCAGGUGGGUAGUUUGACUGGGGCGGUCGCCUCCAAAAAGGUAACGGAGGCGUACAAAGGUUCCCUCAGACUGGUUGGAAAUCAGUCGAAGAGUGCAAAGGCAGAAGGGAGCUUGACUGCGAGAAGUACAGUUCGAGCAGGGUGGAAACACGGUCUUAGUGAUCCGACGGUGCUGUGUGGAAGGGCCGUCGCUCAACGGAUAAAAGUUACUCUAGGAUAACAGGCUGAUCUCCCCCAAGAGUUCACAUCGACGGGGAGGUUUGGCACCUCGAUGUCGGCUCAUCGCAACCUGGGGCGGAAGUACGUCCCAAGGGUUGGGCUGUUCGCCCAUUAUAGCGGUACGUGAGCUGGGUUCAGAACGUCGUGAGACAGUUCGGUCCAUAUCCGAUGUAGGCGUGAGAAUAUUGAGAGGAGCCUUCCUUAGUACGAGAGGACCGGGAAGGACGCACCGCUGGUGUACCUGUUAUGAUGCCAAUUGUAAACGCAGGGUAGCCAAGUGCGGAGAGGAUAACCGCUGAAAGCAUCUAAGUGGGAAGCCCACCUCAAGAUGAGUAUUCUGGUGUAAGGUCACGGGAAGACGACCCGUAAAUAGGCACGAGGUGGAAGUGCAGAGAUGUAUGAAGCCGAAGUGUACUAAUAGACCGUCGGCUUGACCG
This 1326-nucleotide ribosomal RNA is filed under the name metagenome. Its description in RNAcentral is "bacterial LSU rRNA". It matches the Rfam family "Bacterial large subunit ribosomal RNA", at positions 1561 to 2925 of the family's 2925-position model. The record is from RNAcentral.